This 493-nucleotide ribosomal RNA is filed under the name uncultured bacterium. RNAcentral describes it as "bacterial SSU rRNA". It matches the Rfam family "Bacterial small subunit ribosomal RNA", at positions 28 to 517 of the family's 1533-position model. The record is from RNAcentral.
GAUGAACGCUAGCGGCAGGCCUAACACAUGCAAGUCGAACGGUAACAUGAGUAGCAAUACUUGAUGACGAGUGGCGCACGGGUGCGUAACGCGUAUGCAACUUACCUCUAACUGGAGAAUAGCCUUCCGAAAGGAAGAAUAAUACUCCAUAAUAUUACGAUGUGGCAUCACAUUGUUCUUAAAGCUUCGGCGGUUAGAGAUGGGCAUGCGUCUGAUUAGCUUGUUGGUGAGGUAACGGCUCACCAAGGCAACGAUCAGUAGGGGGCCUGAGAGGGUUAUCCCCCACACUGGUACUGAGACACGGACCAGACUCCUACGGGAGGCAGCAGUGAGGAAUAUUGGUCAAUGGACGAAAGUCUGAACCAGCCAUGCCGCGUGCAGGAUGAAUGCCCUAUGGGUUGUAAACUGCUUUUAUAUAGGAAUAAACCCCUUUACGUGUAAAGGGCUGAAGGUACUAUAAGAAUAAGGACCGCUAACUCCGUGCCAGCAGCCG